AUACGGAGGGUGCAAGCGUUACUCGGAAUCACUGGGCGUAAAGCGCGCGCAGGCGGCUAUUUAAGUUGGAUGUGAAAGCCUACGGCUCAACCGUAGAACUGCAUCCAAAACUAUUUAGCUAGAGUGUGGGAGAGGAGGAUGGAAUUAGUUGUGUAGGGGUAAAAUCCGUAGAGAUAACUAGGAAUACCAAAAGCGAAGGCAAUCUUCUGGAACACUACUGACGCUGAGGCGCGAAAGCGUGGGGAGCAAACAGGAUUAGAAACCCUAGUAGUCC
RNAcentral lists this ribosomal RNA (274 nucleotides) under uncultured bacterium. Its description in RNAcentral is "partial 16S ribosomal RNA". It matches the Rfam family "Bacterial small subunit ribosomal RNA", at positions 523 to 796 of the family's 1533-position model. The record is from RNAcentral.